CGUGAUAAUUAACAAAUUAAUUCGUAUUAUACCGGUGAUUAAACGGUUAACCGUGUUUUAAUUAUUCGAUCGAUUUAAUCGCAUUUCAAUAACUAAACGGACCGAAGGUAGGAUUAUUUAAUUCAUUAUGGAAACACGUCGCGUUGCGAUAGUAAAACCGGAUAAAUUACAUUUCGGUGUCUCUCCGAAGCGCGGUUACAUCGUUCGAACAAAUCUUCGUCGAGAAACCGACUCCCCUCCCUUCUUCCCUAACGUGUACCACCGCUAGUUUCAUCUUAAACUACGUCACCAUUUUACCGAGUAACUGUUAUUACAACGGAUUCGUUAACAUCUACGGGGCACGUAACGGAAGAAGCUCCUCUUCUAGAUCUAGGGAUACCAUAUUACACGGAGCUUCCACGCCCCCACUGCGAUGCUUAAAUAUCUCGUUUCUCGCGUUCAGUGUUUUCACCUUAACGGCGAUCAAGAUAUCGAGUCACUAUUCAGUCGGAUCCGCGAGAAAAGAAGGCCGAAAAGAAGCAUCGAAAGUGAAGUGCGAGAUAAAACGAUAAAGAGAUUCGAACAGAACGUUGGAACAUCGAUUAUUUAUAUCAAUUCUCAAGCGAGAAGGUUUAUCCGAGAAUUUAACCGCAACAAGAAGAGAUACUGACUAUUGAACGAUCAAUUAGCUAUCAAGUUUGAUCCGGCACUCUCGAAACUCAUUCCGAACUCUCAUUUACAAGAACUUAGAUAAUUCGUCUCUUCAAAGAUAAUGCUAUAAGGCAUACUCGAAGCCACCGUUAUUUACACGAUACUUUUAAAGCAGCAAGCCAACAAACGAAGAUAUAGGAAGAUGGAAAAGUAGAAGGCGUCGUAAAUAAAGCAAAGAUAAGCGAGGAAAAGGAAAAAUCGGUGCAAGUGGAUUUCGAUUAACUACACGGAUCGACCUUGAGCUAAUCGAACGUACAACGAUACAUCGUUGCGAGUUGUCCGAGCCAGGGAUCCAGGGGAGAGAAAUGUGAUGCGUGGAAGAAAGCGAGAAGGAAAAUGAGGAGGGAAAGAGAAAAAAAAAAAAGAAAAAACUUUCUUGCAAGACACUCUGUAGAUGGCCGGGGUUAACAGCGGGACGGGAAAGGAGGGAUAAUUGAAUACAACUUGAUCGAGCCGCGCGUUUCCACCCCAUUAAAUCGGGCUUAAGUUCGUAAAAGAGGGAGAGCGAGAGAGAGAGAGAAGUUAGGAGGCGGAAUGGAGCGCGAGAGAAGUAAGGAAGGAAGGAAGGAAGGAAGGAAGGAAGGAAGAAAGGAGGAGAGAAAAGGGGGAAAGGCGAGAGAAUGUUUACUGCUACCCCAGCUGGGGGCCAAUCGGUAUAGAGACCCUUAUAUACCCUCCCACCCAACUUCGCUCUUAACCCCUUCUCCAGUCUUCCAGAAGGUUGUACAGUCGUACAAUGGAAACGCGUCGGCAAUAGCUAAGCCGAUGUCGUUAUACAGCCGGAUUAUUCCUCGGCCCGGUAAAGCUCCGUUAUGGCGAUAAUCAAAUUAACUCGCUUCGAAUUUUAAACGCACUGCCUAUCCCCUCUCCGCGCGCUCACUGCCAAUUUGGCGCAGCUGGCCUCACCGUCGGAUUACUCGGUCACCCACUUACCGAUACCGCCCUUUGUCUUUCAACCUCGAUCGCACCGCCACCAUAAAUUCGGCCCCUGUCAAAAUAUAUUUAAGGGGAGAAAAAGAUUUAUUCUCGGUGUUUUUCGAAAAAUUGAGGUUGAGAACCACUGUUCCGGAUUAUCUCUCGAGUUUCCAAGUUUGUUUUAAAUAUGAAACGGAACGAUUAUUUAAAUUCGCCUAACUAAAUUUAUUUUGGGUAAGAAGAAUUCUCGUUUUUCGAAAAAUUGAAUAUACGGCAGGUUGAGAACCAUUGUUCUAAAUCAUCUUCCAAGUUUCUUGGUUCGUUUAAGUACGAAAGGAAGAACGGUUGAAAAUGGUUGAAUUCAAUUUUCUUAACCUCGAUACUUUUUCGUUAUUUUUAAAUCGUAAAAUUCAUUUCGCGAUUUUUUUCGUCGCGGAAUAAUCGGUACUCGAAUCUUCGAGCCAAGUCCGAUGCGAAGUAUAAGAUAGGUUGAGAACCAUCGCUUUAGAUUAUCUUCCAACAGUUUCUCAGUUUGUUUAAGUACGAAACGAAGAGCUUGGUGGUUAGAAAUGCAAGUUCAUACCACCGUUGAUCUUGAUCGAGUCUAAGCCACGCCAGGUUCUUGGUUAUUUAACGGAAUUUCCGCCCGAUAAAAAUAUCAAAUUUCUCGGGAAUCGUUUUCGCAAUUUCGGUCAUCGAAAUUAAAUGGCAUAUUAGAUAUAAACGUAUCAUACUCGUUACUCUUACAGGCACAUAGAUGAACCAAAAUGAAACACGAAAUACCCAGUAAUUGGUUGUAACUGCUAAUUCAAUUAGACUUCAUCCAAACCGUGUAUUAGUCGGCACGACCGUGUUUAAUUUCAACUUCGCGCAGUUGACUUUCUAAAUUAAUAACAAGGAUUACUUAACGAACUGCAUACCGUACUUAUAUUGUUUGAAGUUACGUAAUAUAUCGUAGUUUAUGAUACUUGCGGCCAGCGGUUUACCACUUUUGCGGUUUUACCUUCGUACAAAUUGUAAUUCGAUUUACGAUGCGAUACCGUAUGUCAAUGAAAUAUUUGACCAAUUACUAAGACGAAAUACACGAAAUGCGCGUAACAAUUUAUUCGUCCGAUUACUGUUUUAUUCAAAUUCCUCGAGUUCGAAAGUGAAACUGCUUUUUACUAGAUGUAACGACUUCUUCGCGCGACAUUUCCUUUCGAUCGCCUGAUUUGAUUAUUUGUAUUAUUUUCCGUCGCGUAUUUGAAAUUUAUUUUUCAAACGUGAUUUUCGCACGAUUUUAAUCAAUAAUAAUUAUUCUAUUACAAAUUAUUCGCGUAUCUCUUUUAAAAGAUAAAUCCGAUUUCACUUUACUCCAUACCAGAUAUUUGCAAUUUAAUUCUCAAAUAUUCGUUCAUAAGUUGAUCGAUCCCCUUCAACCGAAUUAUAUUCGCGAACAAGUUGUUGGCCUCGUGUCGUUCGGCACGGUAUAAUGCGCACGAAAGUGCGAGCAACGGCUCGCGUUUGGAGCCAUUGUUCCCAACAACUAAAAUUCCCUAGCAUGCAUAGCAUUACAAAAUGAUCGGAUAGCCGGUGAAAAAGUAAUUGGGUCGCGAUGAGUGUCCGCAUCUCGAGAUAGUCGUCAUAUUCGAAAGAGAUUCCUCCCCGUAAUCCGGCUGGAAUCGAGUGUAAUGACUUUUCUUCGACGAGAAAAGGGUGGAUGGAGGACGCCGCGUGCAAAAUCGAUGCAUUCGCUAGACACGAUCCUUCCGCCAAAUGCAUCGCGAAAACGUAUUUGCCAAAGAGAUUCCAACCACUCGCGACGAUCACGCCCACUGCUCGAUCAGAUCGCAUCAAUUCUGACUCGUUAUCUUUUCUCCUAUUUAUUUUUUCUGUGAUUUCGAAUUAUAUUUUUCAAAGUAAAGAAAACUGUGCUCAUAUCUCUUGGAUCGAGUCGCUGCUCGAGGCAAGUGAUUUUAAGGUUAAGUGGAUACGCGUGCGUACGUACUUCGAAAGAAAUUGCACAAUGAUACGAAUUUCUAUGAUUCUCGGAAUGCUUUCGAGAGUGAUUGUGAACACGAAUGGUUUAAGGAUAAGGAAAUUAUAUUUUUCAAAAUAAAAAAAACUAUCGCCGUAUCUUUUGAAUCAAGUUGCUGCUCAAAGUGGAUAAUUUUAAGGUUAUGUGGAUACGCGUAUGUAUACAUUUUGCACGGUGAUAUGAACUCGUUCUAUUUCUAUUAGACACGAUUCGUGGAGUGUUUUCGAAAGUGAUUGUGGACACGAGUGGUUUAAGGAUACGAAAAAUAUUCCGUCAAAAAGGAUUCGAUCCUUUUUCGCGCCAUCUUUCCUUUCUAUUCGUUUCAAGAUCAGGAUACAGCUUAUUCGAACGGGGCACAGUUUAGAUAAUCCCUAAUUGAAAUACGCUCGAUACCAUAAGCUGCAUAUUAACGUAACAGCGUAACGAUAUUGUUAGAUUACGUAAUACAUUAUUGAUACGUAACCAUAAUAACGCAUAUUCCAGUUCUCUCUAAUGAGAGCCACGUCGAUUUGCGUAAAAAUAACAUUCAUCUAAUUCUCUUAACGUAUCCCGUGUAUUUUAUACGUUAAUUAUAUUUUAUACGUUUCUUUUUCCCGUAUCUAUUUAACCGAUGGAAUUUUUACAUUUUCGAACAUGAAAUUUAGCAUGUUCAUCCACGCGUAGAUGUGCAUCCACGCGUGAUUUAAUCGAAACGAUGAUCCAUUUUGAUCGAUCCGUCCGUAUCUCUUAAAUAGCCGCGUUCCAUCUGCAGCUAACAUUACCAAACGCGUAACAUCCGGUACAACUGAAAUAUAGAACGUUAAUGCGGUUAUUAGAUAAGCAUGUACGAAUUCAAGUAUCGAUUUAAUCAUUAUUCGCCCGGUAUUUGGAGGGAAAGAAAAAAUUUAAGCGUGAUAUAAAGAAGAAAAAUUUUUUUUUUUCUAGAUGGAGUAAACAAUACAUUGAAAUUCUGAACGUUUCAUAGCGACAAAAUCGAGCAUUCUACGUAUAAAAUUGGUGACUCUUUUUCCAGAAAUCGGUGAGAAACGCAUGCGAGAGAAUCUACGAUUUCACGGAGAUUCUAUUUCGCAAGGUAGCAGCGAUCCGUAUCACCAAACAAGUUCUUUCAAUUCCGACGAUCCGCUCUUGUCUCCUCUCCCUCUCUCUCUCUCAUCGUCGUCUACUAUGCUUUCUUCGAUUUAUCCUCGAAUAAGGCGUUUGUCCUCUGACUUUGCAUUCAUUUCACAAAUCACAAAUUUGGAAAUCUUUCAAGGUAUAUAUAUAUAUAUACACUCGCAGAUAGUUUUGCCAAACUCUUCUUUUCCACUCUCGAAUCUCGACUCUACAGUUGAACAAUUUUAAAAGAAUCUUUAUUUCUUUAUCGCUCGAUCACUCGAAUUAUCGUGGAUAAAUAGAAAAACAUUAACCAAAAAAUGCUCUUGCACUAACUGAUGCGAGUUAUCCGGACAUUGCUUUCGUUGAUCUCCACUCCAGCCAACCGAGAUGGAAGCUAUAUCCAGAAGGAAAUCGAGCUAAGGAUUCGAGUGUGUAUAUAUAUAUAUAUAUAUAUAUAUAUAUAUAUGUAUAUAUAAGCUCGAAGGAGUGGAUUAGAAGAGGUUUGGAAGCUUUGGCGGAUCGGUCGGACUCGUGUUUAAGUAGCCCAGGUUGCGGGAUAGUCCGACUUCUUGGUCGAGAUUAGCUUAGUUACAGAUAACUAAGUCGAGAUUUGGAGCGAGGCGAGGAUACAGAUGGGAAGAAAGUAAGCGGAGAGAUGAAGAAAACGGCGGGGAUACAAAGGAGAAGGCAGAUGGGGCGAUAGAAAGGAGAGGAGGUUUACUACCUCUAACACGGAGAAUUAAACGGAGAUGUACGAAUAAGCGAAACACGCAAAUCGUCGGUGAGAAGUUUGAUCGUAUCUUCGAGGCCUCGACAUCACCGUCCGGAUAUUUCUGAAGCGGAUAGAAGGAUAUUGCGAUUCUCGUGGGGUGGAAACAGCCGCUGGCUGAGCAAUCCUUUGCGCGGACCAAUGUCUCGCGAUAUUACCCCCUCCAUGAGAGAAAGAGAGAGAGAGAGAGAAGAGAUCUCUAUUCUCCCUUCCAAAGUUAAUUGUCUUGCCAAUGUAGGAUUAGCUGUCCGAAGAGCACGACUUACCGGCCCACCGACCGUUCUCUUCCAAUCCUCUCUUUUUCGUUAUCUUCCUUACCAAUCGUCAUUUUCGACUGUCUCUUUCUCUCUCGCUCCCUCUUUGUUUAUUCUUUCUCGCGAUCGUUUACAGAGUUCACCUUGAAGCAUCAUUUUUUGCCAUGUCUCUCUGUUUCUGUUUGUUUUCUUUCCGUUUUAUUUAUUCUUUCUCGCUUACAGAGUUCGUUAUUUUUCGACGUCUCUCCCUUAUUCUUCGUUUAUUCCUUUUUCUCUGUUUCAUUUACCUCGUCGAUGCUUUUCUCGCGAUCGUUCAUUCUCUUGACUAAUGUUAAAAUUGUUAUUUUGUUUUAUCUUUUAUCUUUGUUAUUUUAUUUAAUUUCGUUGAUGCUUUUCUUGUUUUUAUUUUUUCCACAGUCAUUUUUCACCUUUCGAUAACUUUGUUUCCUUUUUUUUUUAUUUCCUUUUCUCUAUUUUAUUUAUUUUCUCGUGAUCGCUUCGAAUCGUCAUAUUCGUCUUUCUCUCUUCCUUCCUUUUUUCGUGUUAUUUUCUUACCUUGUGGUUCUCUUUCCCUCUCCUACCUACGCACAAUUUCGAUUUCGCUCUUUGUGGACCAAGUAGAUUCGGUUACGAUACCACGACGACCACCACGUCGGGAUCACAGUUUCGCUACUAUGUUGCCUGUGAUGAAUGGUAUACCGAGCUCCUUGAGCAGACUCUACACGUACCGACUACGAACAAUGGGACACAACUAUAUCAAUGACAAUCGGGUUACAAAUUUCACCGAAUAUCGUAAACUGGUAAAUUUCUAAUUAGAGGGUAAUUUUGGCCGAUCGUUUAUAUACGUACACGUUCUAAUAAGGAAUUAGAAUUAAUUUCACUAUUUCCCUCCCUUCCUUAUUUAUUGGAUACGUAUAUUCUUGCGAACGAGUCGGAAAAGUCGUGCGAACCAACAACUUUCGACAACUUUUUCGAUCGAAAGUUGGAAAGGAACGAAACAUCCGCGUCUCAAAUAACUAUCCUUUGGAAGAGCCCGAGAACAAGAAGGAAAGACGAUUGAGGAAUGUUGAAUAUCGAAACGAAACGGUGCAAUUCGAUAAAUCCUCUUACCAUCCGAGCGCAUAACUUUCUCUCUUUAAAUGUUAAUAAAUGCGAUUCGAAGCUCGUAAAACGAAUAAUCAAAAUUAUCUAGUCGAAUGGUAUUUCGCAUUUACAUUACGAGUAAAAUUUCCGAAUUCGAAUCGAUUUGGAAAAUAAUACGUUCGAUCUUGAAAUUUCUGGCUUUAUGAGCCACAUCAACGCACUCCAGAUUAAUCUUUCCGCGGUUGGGAGAGAGGGGCAAUUAAUCACAUCGAAACAAGCUGCGUCUAAUCAAUCGGAAAUAACCGAUCGACUGGAGAGAAUCAUAAAAACUAUGUAUUGGUCAUCUCGGGGAACGAUAUCGGGGGAGGAGGGGGGGAAUAAGGAUCGGGUUAUCCCUGUUGCAAUCUCGAGCACGUUGUUUCGCGAACCGAUUCUAGUUAAAGCCAGAUUGAAGGGAAGGGGGGGAAGGGUAAGAGAGGGAGUAUAGUAGGCCGUGUAGUGACGUUGAAAGAUGGUGGUGCUCCUUCUCUCUGCCCGCUACUUCUACCGUGAUAUAGCACCAUCCAAAUGCGCUGAUAGAUCCAAUUUACACAACGCCUUUAACACACCGCGAAUUUUCUCGCCAAGGGUUUCGAAUAUUUAAUUUUCAACUUUUCGAUCAAAAUUCUGAACGUUUUCUUCCGUCUGAAAAAUUGAACGAGAACUUAAAAAAAAGAAUCAUUUUUUCCAAAAUUCAUUUAUUAACCAUCUUUUUACCGCAGUACUUCGCACGUUUAUAGCGAUAAACGAAUUCGAAGUGAAUGGCGCAUGCGCGCUGCAAUCGACUACCGCUUAUAAGAUCCUAGCGAUUAAUCCGCGUGGAGCAAUUAGCAGCGUAGAGGAUCGGGCCAUAGGCCUCGAUUUCAGUCUCUGGAGAGCUGGAACCGAACACCUCGUCGAGAUGGACGUGGCUGCGGCUCUCGUGUGAGCCCAGCUGACCCUCCACGAUUAAUGGUAAACUUAAUUAUUGCUUCUUCUCCUCUCGCGCCAGCCUCGACAACGUUGUUGCGCUUUCCUUUCGCGUUGCGCGUAUGGACAAAUACCGAUCGAGGGAGUAUUAUCGAUCGAUAAAUUGAAAUAUAAUUUCAAUCGUUUCGAAUUUCAGCUCUUCCCUUUCGUAUCCUUUCCAAAUAAUAAUAUUACGACGAAAAUUAUAUUUGUAUCCAAAUUUUCUAUACGAAGUAAUUAUAUAUAUAUAUAAAAAAAGGAAAGCGAUGAGAUGUAAACUGAUAUUGUAAGAUUCUUAUUCAAUUCUGUUUAAUUCCUUCUAAUUUCCUUAUUUCUCCUCGUAUUCGAAGAAGGAAGAGAAAAGUGACGAAAAACUGGGAAUGGAAGUGGCGGUGGACAGCUGGUCGGAUGAGAGAAGAGAGCGCGUGGGAUGUACUUGACGUAUCGGUCGAGUGAUCGGAUAUCGAUUAGUCCGUGCGCACGGCUAGUCCACAACACCCUCCACGAGUCGUAACUUGCACUCGAAUGCUAUUCCACUAAUUACCAAGGCGACAGGGAGCACUGCGGUUGGCACUUCUGACGGUGGAUCUUGACGGUUGUACGCAUAUGGGCCGGGGUGAACCGAGGCAGAGAUUAUCGGCUAGGCGUAUAUGCGGUUAAUCACUGACCGAUCGUUAAGGUACAUUAUCCUCCUUAUAUUACGGCAUUAUCGUUACAAUCUUCCCGAAUUUCCGCCUAAUUUUAUACUCGGCUUCAACCGCCGAUUUAUAUAUAUAUAUUAUAUAUAUAUAUAUAUGUAUACGUAAUAACCUCAAUCGUUUGUCCUUUAUAUAGUUGGCGGAUCGUUAUUAUGGAUUAUGUGAAUUAUUAUCACUUUGUAACUAGGUCUUGCGCUAGCUUAAGAGGUUAUGCCACCUUGAUAGCGUCCAAACUCCGGGCUACCUUAAUAGAAUUAUUAAUCCGCUUGGAAUUAAUAUUUUAUCCAUCUAUUGAUGAGAUAUGGAAUAUCGAAUAAUUUCAAAAAAAAAAAAAUCAUCAAUUUCGCGUAUUCGCUUUAGAUAAAAAUGAUUUUACGAUUUUAAAAUUAUUAUCUUCGUUUAUUUUUGAAUUUAUCAUCAAAGCAUGUAAACGUUUGACACAAUUUGCACAAUUUUUUACAAACCGUUUCAUCUCGCAAAUGCAAGGUAUUUAACAGGAUUUCCUCUUCUUUUCAUUUUAUUCGUUUAUUUAUUUAUUUAUUUUUUUUUUUUUUUUUUUGCUGCGAAAAAGUCAAAUGUAAUAAACGUGGUAAUAAUUUGACUCGAACUUAUCAAAGAUAUUAGGUUAAAACGUUCUCUAUUCGUUGGCGACUUAAUGAAUCAGUUUCAUAACGUUUGGGCUACUUUAACUUUCCGCUUCCACCCUUAAUUGAGCUUUGUAAGUUUAUUAGCCCCUUAAUUCUAGUUUCGCUAUUCCUGUGUAAGAUUGUAAUUAACCUACCGUGUUUUAGUUUCUUCUUGUUUUAGGAUAUUGGCCGGUCCUAAUUAACUUUGAGAAACUUUCUUUCUUUCUUUCUUUUUCGACCCUACUAGUCCCUUUAUUUUUCGAAAAUUCUUCACAAUUGCGAAACUUUUCGAAUUAAUCGAAGAAUCAAAUAUAUAUCACUACGCCACUUCUUUCUGGUUGAAAUUCUUCCUGGUUUACUUACAAGCAUUUUUUAAAACCGUGCAUUUUCAAAUUGAAAUUCUUCUGCACGAAAUGGAGCGCUAUUAAAUUAUUAUUAAAGAAGGAAUGUUAAGUCGAUAAAGGUUACUACUAUCGUUAAUUAAAAUGUCUAGCUUUGUUUCGAGAACGGUUAAACUUAUCGAGAGAAUUCAACGAAACUCGGAUCUUGUUCAGCACUGCCACUGCUGAGUACUAUAUCACUGUUGGCUCAUCGGUGAACAAUCGAAUUUGGCUUCCAGAAUGGCUCGACACGUGAUACGCGUUAAAUUCACUGCGUUGAUACACGACUUCCGUGCUACGGUCAACGCAAGAUUUUCGCCUUGUAACACGAUGCAAGAAUUAUGAGAAUUACAACGAUACUUCAUCCAAACGUUUUCUCUGUUUUUAAAGAAUACUCGUUCGAAUUUGUUUUCUAAUUCGUGAUAUUUUAAUUUCGAAGGAAGAAAACAUCGGGGAUAUUUCGAUUAAAUAACAAUAUAUUUACAACAAUAACGAUAAUUGAGUUUGAAAUAACGAUUUCUUAGAGAUACUUUUAUAGAAAUAAGAGGAUAAACGAAAAAGGGAGGAUGAAGAUAAAGAAAUAAAGAACGAGAAAUUCUUGAAACUAUCGCGCCUACUAAUAUUGUGUGGUAGUGGAUGGUGGAUUGUUGAAUGCAUGUUCAUUGGUGGAAAGAAGUCACGCGAAAGAAAUACGGGAUCGGAUUGGUUAAUUUGGAAGGAAACGCCUAUUUCACACGUAUUUUUCUUUCUACCAUGGUAUUUGUCACACAUACCGAUUCAAAUGAUGAUCUAUAUCUAAAUGUAUCCAAUGCAUCAACGUAGGCAUAGAAUCCUACGUUAGAGAAUUUUAACUUAUCGAUAUAGCAUAAUUUUUUUAUUUCUCAUUAAUAUGCUUAGAAUAAUUAUAAUUUGUAACGAUAAUUUAAUUUUUUUUUUAUGAAUGUAAUUUCGUAUUAAGAUAAGUAGUUAAGAUGAUAAUUGUAUAUAUACGAAUAAAUUAGAUAUAUUAAUAUUGUACCA
Molecule: long non-coding RNA, 10534 nt
Organism: Apis cerana (Asiatic honeybee)
Lineage: Eukaryota; Metazoa; Arthropoda; Insecta; Hymenoptera; Apidae
Source: RefSeq, a predicted model, not a curated record